Molecule: unclassified non-coding RNA, 243 nt
Filed under: uncultured Leucoagaricus
Lineage: Eukaryota; Fungi; Basidiomycota; Agaricomycetes; Agaricales; Agaricaceae
Description: sequence contains ITS1
Source: RNAcentral
AUGAAUACUGCUUGAUGGGUUGUAGCUGACUCUCUGGAGUAUGUGCACGCCUGUCUUGGAUUCUAUUCAUCCACCUGUGCACUAUGUGUAGUCUCUGUGAAGGACCAAGAACAGUCGGUUGAAAAAUCGGAUGGAAGAGUGCACGUCAGCUCUCUUUGAAUUGGUUGUCUAGAGUCUAUGUUUUUACAAUAACGCAUGUUGUAGAAUGUAUUUACUGGGCCAUUGUGCCUAUAAAAUCUUAUA